UCUUCGCCGAGAAGAGAUGAAGGCGAGGCGGAGGUCGUGGAGCCCUUAGAGCUCUCUUUCUCCGACCUCCUCCUACACCUCUCCUCCGCUGCUUCCGCUCCCUCUAGGGUUUCUUCCUCCCCAGAGAGCUGGCGAGGCUUGAAUCCCUCUCCGCCGCCGUGAUGCAAGCCCGAGGUCCGGCGGGGCCCGGCCUCUUAACUGUCAGGGGGAUCUGGAGAGGCCCCGCUGGAGCAGGAUGCUCACGCUCCUUGACAACAAUGAUCGCGCUCGAGUUCUCAAAGGAGCAUAGCUUAGGCAGUGAUGUUCCUUUGAAGAAUCUAGAUAGGAAUCUCUCCUCAUUUUCCUUCAGUUAAAAUAUGGAUAAGAUUCAAGUUUGGGGUUGUCUUCAAGUGAUCUUAGCAUAAGAGAAAAAGGCAGCUACAGUGAAGAAGAUAAUCCAUCUGUCAAUGGAUUCCAGGAAUUCAAUCAUCACGGGUUCGAGCAGCUCAGCAAAACUUUUAAGUAGCUUGUCUUCACAUGAUGGACUUGGACUUUGUGUAGCACAAAUCUGUGAUAAGGCCAUUGGUAGCAGAGAACUGGAACAGAGCAUUAUAAAUAUGGAAACUGCAAAGAGGUGCCUUGUUCACUAUAAUUCGAUGUUGGAUAACCUUAUUCUCAAAGAGAACUAUAGAAUGAAAGGAUCUAUAAAGAAAGUGCAUUCAAUUAAAAUUUGUCCUUCAAAUUUUCAUGAAUCUGCUAUGUCAGGAAGCAUUUUUCCUGUCAGAAAAGGAGCCCUUGGAUGAGUUGCUUAUAGAGAAUAGCUUGAUUGAAGAUAGGUUCUGCAGAAAUUUUUUAUCCUGUUUAUGGAAGCAAUGGCAUUAUGACUAUGGAAUCUUUACUAUUCUAACAACACCAUUAUUUACAUUCCUUGCCAAACAGAUGUUUGUUCUUCUCUAACAGUCCAGAGUGCUCUUCUCCAGAUGGGCAUACAUAUCUGCAACUGUUUGACACUAAAAAGAAUAAUCUCUUUGUGGUGAAAUCCCCACCUGAAAGCUUCUUCAUUCAGGUAGGGGAAGCAGCUGAUAUCUUGUCAUGUGCCAGCUUGGGACAAAACUCUCUCUUAUCCUGCAUACCUUUUAGAUUCUGAAACAAGUAGGAAGUUGUUGUCAAGCUUCGAGACAUCUGGGUCUUGUGACCGAAAAAACAAAUGCUUCACUGAGCUCCUU
Phoenix dactylifera (date palm) is the source of this 1205-nucleotide non-coding RNA. The record is from RefSeq and is a predicted model, not a curated record. Lineage: Eukaryota; Viridiplantae; Streptophyta; Magnoliopsida; Arecales; Arecaceae.